UCCGUAGGGGGCAAGCGUUGUCCGGAAUCAUUGGGCGUAAAGCGCGCGUAGGCGGCCCGGUAAGUCCGCUGUAAAAGUCCAGGGCUCAACCCUGGAAAGCCGGUGGAUACUGUCGGGCUAGAGUCCGGAAGAGGCGAGUGGAAUUCCUGGUGUAGCGGUGGAAUGCGCAGAUAUCAGGAGGAACACCGAUGGCGAAGGCAGCUCGCUGGGACGGUAACUGACGCUGAGACGCGAAAGCGUGGGGAGCAAGCAGG
RNAcentral lists this ribosomal RNA (254 nucleotides) under uncultured bacterium. RNAcentral describes it as "partial 16S ribosomal RNA". It matches the Rfam family "Bacterial small subunit ribosomal RNA", at positions 524 to 776 of the family's 1533-position model. The record is from RNAcentral.